CUGUACCUACGGGGGGCAGCAGUGGGGAAUAUUGCACAAUGGGGGAAACCCUGAUGCAGCGAUGCCGCGUGGAGGAAGAAGGUUUUCGGAUUGUAAAGUCCUUUUAUCAGGGACGAUAAUGACGGUACCUGAAGAAAAAGCUCCGGCUAACUACGUGCCAGCAGCCGCGGUAAUACAUAGGGAGCAAGCGUUAUCCGGAUUUAUUGGGUGUAAAGGGUGCGUAGACGGGAAAUUAAGUUAGUUGUGAAAUCCCUCGGCUUAACUGAGGAACUGCAACUAAAACUGAUUUUCUUGAGUACUGGAGG
Molecule: ribosomal RNA, 305 nt
Filed under: uncultured bacterium
Lineage: Bacteria
Description: bacterial SSU rRNA
Rfam family: Bacterial small subunit ribosomal RNA
Source: RNAcentral